CUCUCCUUGGUGUAGUUGGUUUAUCACGUUCGACUGUAAAUCGAAAGGUCUCUAGUUCGAUUCUGGAAGGAGAGA
This 75-nucleotide transfer RNA is filed under the name Colletotrichum higginsianum. RNAcentral describes it as "tRNA-Tyr". It matches the Rfam family "tRNA". From Rfam's summary of the family: Transfer RNA (tRNA) molecules are approximately 80 nucleotides in length. Their secondary structure includes four short double-helical elements and three loops (D, anti-codon, and T loops). The record is from RNAcentral. Lineage: Eukaryota; Fungi; Ascomycota; Sordariomycetes; Glomerellales; Glomerellaceae. RNAcentral also lists the same sequence under 1 other name.